Molecule: ribosomal RNA, 240 nt
Filed under: Leifsonia sp. SP050
Lineage: Bacteria; Bacillati; Actinomycetota; Actinomycetes; Micrococcales; Microbacteriaceae
Description: partial 16S ribosomal RNA
Rfam family: Bacterial small subunit ribosomal RNA
Source: RNAcentral
UGAAAACUGGGGGCUCAACCCCCAGCCUGCAGUGGGUACGGGCAGACUAGAGUGCGGUAGGGGAGAUUGGAAUUCCUGGUGUAGCGGUGGAAUGCGCAGAUAUCAGGAGGAACACCAAUGGCGAAGGCAGAUCUCUGGGCCGUUACUGACGCUGAGGAGCGAAAGCAUGGGGAGCGAACAGGAUUAGAUACCCUGGUAGUCCAUGCCGUAAACGUUGGGAACUAGAUGUAGGGGCCAUUC